CCUACGGGAGACAGCAGUGAGGAAUAUUGGUCAAUGGCCGCAAGCCUGAACCAGCCAAGUCGCGUGAAGGAUGACUGCCCUACGGGUUGUAAACUUCUUUUGUCAAGGAAUAAAGUCAGGCACGUGUGCCUGUUUGUGUGUACUUUAUGAAUAAGGAUCGGCUAACUCCGUGCCAGCAGCCGCGGUAAUACGGAGGAUCCGAGCGUUAUCCGGAUUUAUUGGGUUUAAAGGGAUCGUAGAUGGGUUGUUAAGUCAGUCGGGAAAGUUUGGGGCUCAACCAUAGGCUGGCAGUUGAACCUGGCAGUCUUGAGUAGACGAGAGGUAGGCGGAAUGCGUGGUGUAGCGGUGAAAUGCUUAGAUAUCACGCAGAACUCCGAUUGCGAAGGCAGCAUACCAACGUGCCACUGACACUGAUGCACGAAAGUGUGGGUAUCGAACAGGAUUAGAUACCCUAGUAGUC
RNAcentral lists this ribosomal RNA (460 nucleotides) under uncultured bacterium. Its description in RNAcentral is "partial 16S ribosomal RNA". It matches the Rfam family "Bacterial small subunit ribosomal RNA", at positions 338 to 795 of the family's 1533-position model. The record is from RNAcentral.